UUGACCUCAAAUCAGGUAGGACUACCCGCUGAACUUAAGCAUAUCAAUAAGCGGAGGAAAAGAAACUAACAAGGAUUCCCCUAGUAACUGCGAGUGAAGCGGGACAAGCUCAAAUUUAAAAUCUGGCAGAUGUUUGUCUGUCCGAGUUGUAACCUA
This 156-nucleotide ribosomal RNA is filed under the name Amanita sturgeonii. RNAcentral's name for it is "Amanita sp. 'sturgeonii' partial 28S ribosomal RNA". It matches the Rfam family "Eukaryotic large subunit ribosomal RNA", at positions 1 to 152 of the family's 3401-position model. The record is from RNAcentral. Lineage: Eukaryota; Fungi; Basidiomycota; Agaricomycetes; Agaricales; Amanitaceae.